RNAcentral lists this ribosomal RNA (424 nucleotides) under uncultured bacterium. Its description in RNAcentral is "bacterial SSU rRNA". It matches the Rfam family "Bacterial small subunit ribosomal RNA", at positions 8 to 444 of the family's 1533-position model. The record is from RNAcentral.
AGAGUUUGAUCCUGGCUCAGAACGAACGCUGAUGGCGUGCCUCAUACAUGCAAGUCGAGCGCCCCGCAAGGGGAGCGGCGAACGGGUGAGUAACACGUGAACAAUCUGCCUCAAAGUGGGGGAUAACCAUUCCAACGGAUGGCUAAUACCGCAUAGGGUUCGGAGGGGGCAUCCCUUCCUUACGAAAGCUUCACGCGCUUUGAGAUGAGUUCGCGUCCCAUUAGCUAGUUGGCGGGGUAACGGCCCACCAAGGUAACGAUGGGUAGCCGGCCUGAGAGGGUGUCCGGCCACAUUGGGACUGAGAUACGGCCCAGACUCCUACGGGAGGCAGCAGUAGGGAAUUUUGCGCAAUGGGGGAAACCCUGACGCAGCAUCGCCAUGUGUGGGAUGAAGCAUUUCGGUGUGUAAACCACUGUCGGCAGGG